UGUCCAGUAGCACCUUAGAGACCAACUAAGUUUGUUCUUGGUAUAAGCUUUCAUGUGCAUGCACACUUCUUCAGAUACACACCUAGUUGUUCUCUAAGGUGCUACUGGACA
Podarcis lilfordi (Lilford's wall lizard) is the source of this 111-nucleotide non-coding RNA. The record is from the annotation of a GenBank genome assembly. NCBI's taxonomy places the organism in Eukaryota, Metazoa, Chordata, Lepidosauria, Squamata, Lacertidae.